CCUACGGGGGGCUGCAGUGGGGAAUAUUGGGCAAUGGGCGCAAGCCUGACCCAGCAACGCCGCGUGAAGGAAGAAGGCUUUCGGGUUGUAAACUUCUUUUCUCAGGGACGCAGAAAGUGACGGUACCUGAGGAAUAAGCCACGGCUAACUACGUGCCAGCAGCCGCGGUAAUACGUAGGUGGCAAGCGUUAUCCGGAUUUACUGGGUGUAAAGGGCGUGUAGGCGGGAAAGCAAGUCAGAUGUGAAAACCAUGGGCUCAACCUGUGGCCUGCAUUUGAAACUGUUUUUCUUGAGUACUGGAGAGGCAGACGGAAUUCCUCGUGUAGCGGUGAAAUGCGUAGAGAUGAGGAGGAACACCAGUGGCGAAGGCGGUCUGCUGGACAGCAACUGACGCUGAGGCGCGAAAGCGUGGGGAGCAAACAGGAUUAGAUACCCUGGUAGUC
This 443-nucleotide ribosomal RNA is filed under the name uncultured bacterium. Its description in RNAcentral is "partial 16S ribosomal RNA". It matches the Rfam family "Bacterial small subunit ribosomal RNA", at positions 338 to 795 of the family's 1533-position model. The record is from RNAcentral.